Helianthus annuus (common sunflower) is the source of this 482-nucleotide long non-coding RNA. RefSeq lists it as uncharacterized. The record is from RefSeq and is a predicted model, not a curated record. The transcript has 3 exons. Lineage: Eukaryota; Viridiplantae; Streptophyta; Magnoliopsida; Asterales; Asteraceae.
AAAAAAAAAACAAAAAAAAAAAGAAUCAUCAGGGUUACUUUGACAGAAGAAAUCAAGUAGAUGGCCAAUUGGAGUUGACCAAAGCUACUAUUUGCAGUCUCAGGAAACCUAGUGAAGGUGAUCUGGUUGGAUCUUUUGCUAGAGGAUUAUUUCUUGUUCACUCACAGUGCUUAAAUUCAAACUACCUUGCCAGCAGGCCCAGUCAACGCUGUGAUUUUUUAUGGGAGUUGUUAAUUUACAUCAUUUUUAUCAAUGGUGACUAAUAUCUUACCUACGUUUACAGGGUACCGUCCAUGCCUAUGUGGCGAUUUCAGGAGGUAAAACUUGCUACCUUUCAGAGCUCAAGACAAGGAAAGAGAUCCUUGUAGUUGAUCAAGAUGGCAUACAACGAACAAUAGUAGUUGGACUGCUAAGUUGAUUUAGAUGAGGAAACUUGUUACAACAUUCUACAUUGUCGGACUCGUACCACCCAACAAAGGUUU